Long non-coding RNA from Teleopsis dalmanni, 560 nucleotides. RefSeq lists it as uncharacterized. The transcript is spliced from 3 exons. Lineage: Eukaryota; Metazoa; Arthropoda; Insecta; Diptera; Diopsidae. The record is from RefSeq and is a predicted model, not a curated record.
UAUGUGAAACAAAACAUUCAAUAUCAUUCUCAUGAAAUUUUUUUGAAUUUCUUUACAAAAAAUGAACAUUUUAUUGGCCAAUUUCGAGAUCAAAAUGGAAAACUUAAUCUUGUAGUCUUAUACAAGCACUCCAAGUCUGUAUUAUUUACCUUUACGUAUUUAAUAGAAAAUGGGAUACACGAUGUAAGAAGAAUGAAUUUAAUGCUCUCAUACUGGUCUCGUGCACAUUAUGAAAAUGGAGUACGUAGAAACGAUAUCAUUCUACUCUGUGAUGCAGUUUUAUCGCAUAUAGUAGAAGCGCUUGGCUGUAAGUGCACCACAACAAUUAAGGGAGCACUGGAUAAAAUAAUUCUUAUACUUCUCGACGCAUAUCCUGAGAUCUAAAAUUAAUUCAGACAACAUCGCAAAUAGUGGUUCAAAAUUUAUAUUUCAUUAUAUUUUCUUCACAUUUCUAAAUUAUUGAAAGUAGUAGAUAAUAGACUGUUGUAUAUUUUUUUAUAUUUAUAUCAUCAUUAUUAUUGGGGCAACGAUCCUAGUUGAAUCAUGGCCUCCCGUUUUUA